This 73-nucleotide transfer RNA is filed under the name Archangium sp. RNAcentral describes it as "tRNA-Asp". It matches the Rfam family "tRNA". Rfam says of the family: Transfer RNA (tRNA) molecules are approximately 80 nucleotides in length. Lineage: Bacteria; Pseudomonadati; Myxococcota; Myxococcia; Myxococcales; Archangiaceae. The record is from RNAcentral.
GGUUCGUGACGCUUCUUGGUGAGGCGACUGGCUUGUCACGUCAGCGAGACGGGUUCGAAUCCCGUACGGACCG